RNAcentral lists this long non-coding RNA (1276 nucleotides) under Apteryx rowi (Okarito brown kiwi). Its description in RNAcentral is "lncRNA (ENSARWG00000007009.1)". Lineage: Eukaryota; Metazoa; Chordata; Aves; Apterygiformes; Apterygidae. The record is from RNAcentral.
CAGCGCGCUGCCUCCGGGCGCGGCCUCCGGGCGCGGCCGGCCCGCCCAGGGCCGCCUUUCGCCCCCGCUGCCGCUGUCCUCACCUCUGCCGGGGAGGCGCAAGUCAAGGCGUCCUCCUCCCCCGGAGGGUCCGCGUCCUGACGGGGCGGAGAGACGUCGCGGAGAACCAGGCUGCAAACAUGCAUACAGAUUUGUGUCACAGAUUCCUUGCACCACAACCUCAUCUCUCUGCUCCGCUGACAAGUCUAGUGUUCUUCAGGUGCAGUUUCACAGUACUCAAAACAAAUUUAAGUUGCAGUGGCUUCCAUCUCUCUGCCUCAGACUGCAUGUUCCUACUCCCCACAUGGACCUCGUGUGCUCCAGGUUGUGCGCUCCUGCCUGCAAUUCUUCCCUCACCUCUUCCCUCAUGCCCUCCCUAUAGGAGGCCUCACCGCACUAUGGGACCUUCUUAUCAACCUCCUCCUGGCCCUGGACAAGCUGGCCACCUGUGCCACUAGGAUGAAGCUUAGUGGAGGAUCCAAAUGACUGUGGAGCUUGUCCACUGAUGUCUCCAAGCCCAGCACCUGUGUGUGUCAUCCAGCAUCAGUGAUGAUGUCUGGGGAACUUGGCUCAGCCCUCUCUUAAUCCAUUUUUGACCUUUUGAUCCUCACAUUCCCUCCCUUUAUUUCAUUGAUUGCCCCUUUAAGCAGGGGGUAUGUUCUCCAAGUUCCUCUUACUCUAACCUUUUUCCUGUGCCUGAAGGGUUUGACAAUCUGAUUAGAACUAGGCUAGCACCCGCUCUUAAAACAGAAGACAAAAAAUCCUUUGUACUCACAGAGAUGCUUGUCUGACCCUGCAGUGAGCUGGUCACUGAGCUGAAUCAGGUGAGAACUAACCACCCAAUUUCUCACCUUACUAAGGAAAGAAACAAAAAAACAAAAAAAAAAGCGACAUUUUUGGAGGGCUCACUUCCCCACCGGAUCAAUGAGUGCCAGUGCUAAUGCAGGCAGAGGCAGGAAAGAACGACCACAGUAGUUCUGCACCCUCAGUCACUUCUCCUGUAGAACCAUUCUGAAUCUUUGAUGAUCCCUCUUGCUCUUCAAGAAAUCUCUUCUAGUUCUAUUUUCUUUCUGAGAUGGGAGAACUUAGAAGGGGACUGUUUAGAUACUCUAGACUUUUCAUUCUUCUGCAAAAAUAAUGUUUUUUUAAAAAAACUAAAAGCUGUUACUAACAUAUUCAAUGUUGACAGUUUCUUUUUUAGUACACAAGAAUAAAUUGCUAAAAAAGAGAUAUGCCA